AACAGAUCUUCUUAACUACACAUACUCUAAAAUCCUCUUUAACUCAAUUUUUUACUUACUUUCACAAUUUUAUACUUGUUUCUAUUGAUUCAGAGAGUCUUUAGGUCACAGGAUCUCACAGCUGUCCUCCCUGCAGAGAAUUAUGCUCCCUAGAGAGGAACUGUCUCUACCUGUGGGGAUGGACAGCAGCAUCUAGCCUAGAGGAACCCUCUGAGGUUUGAUCAAUGAGAGACAUCAGCAGGAGAGAAGGGGACAGGAAAAGAAGGAGGUAGGGGUUUAUUCUUCUCCGGUCCACUGCAGAUUGGCGGUGUUCCUCCUCAUCGGCCACAGCUCUGGGGUUGGGUAGCUGCUCCCUCCUUGCCCUUUCAGGCCUAGGAUUGGUACCAGUUCCCUGCCCUUACUGACCCUAGGAUACUGAACUAUCCCUUUUUGUUUUCCCCAAACUCAGUCCACACCUUUGUAGAUGAGAUUCCUUAUUAAAUUCUUGUCAAAUUGUCCAGUCUGUGGGUGUCAUCUGCUUACUGUUGUACCUCAACUGAUAAAGGCAUGCAAUGUUUUACACCUGACAUGGUUUGGAUCUGUGUCCCCACCCAAAUCUCAUGUUGAAAUAUAAUCCCCAAUGCUGGAAGUGGACCGUGGUGGGAGGUGAUUGGAUCAUGGGGAAUGGUUUAGCACCAUCCCCUUGGUGCUGUCUUGUGACAGAGUUCUCACAAGGUCUAGUUGUUUAAAAGUGUGUAGCACCCUGCCCCCUUGGCCUUGCUCCUGCCAUGUAAGACACCUGCUCCCACUUUGCCUUCUGCUACGAGUACAAGCUCCCUGAGGCCUCCCCAGAAGCAGAUGCCACCAUGCUUCCUGUACAGCCUGUGGAACCGUGAGCCAAUUAAAACUCUUUUCUUUAUAAAUUAUGCAGUCUCAGGUAUUUCUUUACAGCACUGUGAGAAUG
Molecule: long non-coding RNA, 943 nt
Filed under: Homo sapiens (human)
Lineage: Eukaryota; Metazoa; Chordata; Mammalia; Primates; Hominidae
Description: HSALNT0120861
Source: RNAcentral